ACGAACGCUGGCGGCGUGCUUAACACAUGCAAGUCGAACGGUGAACCGGAGCUUGCUCUGGGGAUCAGUGGCGAACGGGUGAGUAACACGUGGGCAACCUGCCCCUAGCUCUGGGAUAAGCCCGGGAAACCGGGUCUAAUACCGGAUAUGAGGUCGGAAGGCAUCUUCUGACUUGGAAAGUUUUUCGGCUAGGGAUGGGCCCGCGGCCUAUCAGCUUGUUGGUGGGGUAACGGCCUACCAAGGCGACGACGGGUAGCCGGCCUGAGAGGGCGACCGGCCACACUGGGACUGAGACACGGCCCAGACUCCUACGGGAGGCAGCAGUGGGGAAUAUUGCACAAUGGGCGAAAGCCUGAUGCAGCGACGCCGCGUGAGGGAUGACGGCCUUCGGGUUGUAAACCUCUUUCAGCAGGGACGAAGCGAAAG
This 426-nucleotide ribosomal RNA is filed under the name Actinobacteridae bacterium Ellin7016. RNAcentral's name for it is "bacterial SSU rRNA". It matches the Rfam family "Bacterial small subunit ribosomal RNA", at positions 29 to 456 of the family's 1533-position model. The record is from RNAcentral. Lineage: Bacteria; Bacillati; Actinomycetota; Actinomycetes.